Molecule: small RNA, 76 nt
Filed under: Ulvibacter litoralis
Lineage: Bacteria; Pseudomonadati; Bacteroidota; Flavobacteriia; Flavobacteriales; Flavobacteriaceae
Description: Flavo-1 RNA
Rfam family: Flavo-1 RNA
Source: Rfam by way of RNAcentral
CCCUAGCCCUGAUUGCAGUGGAAAUCCUUUUUAGGAAGCAUGACUAAAAAGAUUGGAGCGGAAAGCAGGAAAUAGC